This 253-nucleotide ribosomal RNA is filed under the name uncultured bacterium. RNAcentral's name for it is "partial 16S ribosomal RNA". It matches the Rfam family "Bacterial small subunit ribosomal RNA", at positions 524 to 776 of the family's 1533-position model. The record is from RNAcentral.
UACGUAGGGUGCAAGCGUUGUCCGGAAUUAUUGGGCGUAAAGAGCUCGUAGGCGGUCUGUCACGUCGGCUGUGAAAACCCGAGGCUCAACCUCGGGCCUGCAGUCGAUACGGGCAGACUAGAGUUCGGUAGGGGAGACUGGAAUUCCUGGUGUAGCGGUGAAAUGCGCAGAUAUCAGGAGGAACACCGGUGGCGAAGGCGGGUCUCUGGGCCGAUACUGACACUGAGGAGCGAAAGCGUGGGGAGCGAACAGG